GUGGGGAAUAUUGGACAAUGGGCGCAAGCCUGAUCCAGCAAUGCCGCGUGGGUGAAGAAGGUCUUCGGAUCGUAAAGCCCUUUCGACAGGGACGAUGAUGACGGUACCUGUAGAAGAAGCCCCGGCUAACUUCGUGCCAGCAGCCGCGGUAAUACGAAGGGGGCUAGCGUUACUCGGAAUUACUGGGCGUAAAGGGCGCGUAGGCGGCUCUGUUAGUCAGGCGUGAAAUUCUUGGGCUUAACCUGGGGACUGCGCUUGAUACUGCAGGGCUUGAGGCCGAGAGAGGGUGGUGGAAUUCCCAGUGUAGAGGUGAAAUUCGUAGAUAUUGGGAAGAACACCGGGGGCGAAGGCGACCACCUGGCUCGGUUCUGACGCUGAGGCGCGACAGCGUGGGGAGCAAACAGGAUUAGAUACCCCUGUAGUCC
RNAcentral lists this ribosomal RNA (425 nucleotides) under uncultured bacterium. RNAcentral describes it as "partial 16S ribosomal RNA". It matches the Rfam family "Bacterial small subunit ribosomal RNA", at positions 354 to 796 of the family's 1533-position model. The record is from RNAcentral.